CGGGAUAUAGCGCAGUUUGGUAGCGCGCCUGCUUUGGGAGCAGGAUGUCGCAGGUUCAAGUCCUGCUAUCCCGAUCU
RNAcentral lists this transfer RNA (77 nucleotides) under Gracilaria tenuistipitata var. liui. Its description in RNAcentral is "tRNA-Pro". It matches the Rfam family "tRNA". Rfam says of the family: Transfer RNA (tRNA) molecules are approximately 80 nucleotides in length. Their secondary structure includes four short double-helical elements and three loops (D, anti-codon, and T loops). Further hydrogen bonds mediate the characteristic L-shaped molecular structure. tRNAs have two regions of fundamental functional importance: the anti-codon, which is responsible for specific mRNA codon recognition, and the 3' end, to which the tRNAs corresponding amino acid is attached (by aminoacyl-tRNA synthetases). tRNAs cope with the degeneracy of the genetic code in two manners: having more than one tRNA (with a specific anti-codon) for a particular amino acid; and 'wobble' base-pairing, i.e. permitting non-standard base-pairing at the 3rd anti-codon position. The record is from RNAcentral. Lineage: Eukaryota; Rhodophyta; Florideophyceae; Gracilariales; Gracilariaceae.